Non-coding RNA from Pseudonaja textilis, 389 nucleotides. NCBI's taxonomy places the organism in Eukaryota, Metazoa, Chordata, Lepidosauria, Squamata, Elapidae. The record is from RefSeq and is a predicted model, not a curated record.
AUUCGGCUUGCUGGGAGAAAAAAGUGCGCAGGCGCCGACCGCUCGAGCUCCAAUGCGAGUCAAGAUAGGCCUAAAUUCGAAGGAACCACCUAAAAGUUCAAGGAUAUUUGUGGAAUUUCAAGGCAAUAUGCAAAAUCUCAACAGACUGAAAGUGAACCUUUAUGGGGAAUGCAUCAAUGCCCAGAAAUCUGUCCUUCCUUUUCCUACAUUAUCAGAAGGAAAGGAACUCCACUCCAAAUCCUUGAAACUGGUCCGGAAGAAUAUCAUGGUGAAUGCUAUUAAAAGCUACCAAGAGUUCAGAUAAAACCAGGAUGGAUGACCCCCAUUCCGCUCCUAUCAGAUCUGCUUUAUAUCUUAAAAGCAAGACCAGUGUUGUUUCCAUCUGGAGG